Molecule: long non-coding RNA, 690 nt
Organism: Brassica napus (rape)
Lineage: Eukaryota; Viridiplantae; Streptophyta; Magnoliopsida; Brassicales; Brassicaceae
Exons: 2
Source: RefSeq, a predicted model, not a curated record
UUUGGAAACUUUGGCUGCACGACAGCACGAGUACCUCUCUCUUUCUCAUUUAUGAAUGAAUCAAAACCUUCUUUAUCUUUGUGACAAAAGCUAAAGCUUUCUUCUUUUCUUUAUUCUUUUGCUUGUCAGUAAAGCUCUAGUGAGAGCACCAAGAAGCAGAUCUUGGAUUUGUAUCUCUUGUUUGCGCAUAAAAUCAUCAUGUGACAGUUAGAGAUUGUGGAAGCCAUGACGGUGCAGGAAACUCAGCCAAGGCAGGAUACUGAGGAAUCUCUACUUGCAAAAGGAGGUGCUAAGACAAGAAUCUGGACAGGAGAAGCAAAGCCAAAAGAUGAGUACUUUUCUUCAUGGGAUUAAGAGCGGCUCACUGCCUAUGCUUGCAAACAAGCUCUAAUAAGCCUCAACAUCAGAGGUUGUUGUUUUGAGAAGAUUCCAAGAGAAAGCACAGUGUUUAACAAUACCGGUUUAAACACACAGGAGUAACAUUUGAAUACUAGCUUUGAACUCAUGAAGCUAGAGUGUAAUCAGAUUGUGCGACUGGUUUUUGUUGCUGUGUCUAAGAUUGUGAUUAAGAAAUGUGCUUCAAAGAUAUCUAGCAGAAACUAAGCUCGAUCGAUGGGGUUUGUUUUCUGAAGUACAAUCAGUGUUGGGACUUUGGCAAAAGGUCAUUUUAUUUGAGCUUGGGUUAAUUCA